Sorex araneus (European shrew) is the source of this 419-nucleotide long non-coding RNA. RefSeq lists it as uncharacterized. The transcript has 3 exons. Lineage: Eukaryota; Metazoa; Chordata; Mammalia; Eulipotyphla; Soricidae. The record is from RefSeq and is a predicted model, not a curated record.
CGCCCCCGAUCCCCCCGCCGCAGCGAGCGCGAGAGAGGGCGAGGGAGAGCAGGGGGGUGGGGGGAAGAUCGAUCGCGCUGCCUGUCUGCAGCGGAAACGCACCCGCGCGCCCCGGGCUCGAGACACCGUCACCUUAACCCUUCCCCCACCCGCCGUGAACUUCAGGCUUAGAAAAGAUAAAAAGAAAAAAAAAAAAAAGGAAGAUUCUUCUAAGAAUGUCUCUGAUGGAGCAGUUAAAGUGUCAGUGGGGGCAACUCACCCUGCAGUGCUCAGAGUCUAUUCCUGACCCCCUGCUUAGAAGUGACCGCUGGUGGUGCUCAGAAGACCAUAUGCAGUGCUAGGGCUUCACAUCAGGGUCAGCACGAUGCAGCCCCUUGCAAAACAAUGCCUUCUCUCCUGUACUACUAUCUCUCUCUUCA